CUCAUGAGUACCAACAGGCUUAUUAUUUUUUGUGUUCUCCCAACUAUCAGCAAGUGUGUAAGAAGCGCUGGCUGGAGGUGCAGAACCUGGGUCAGAGCUUGUCGCAACGUGCCUCAACCCCACCCACACCUCUUCUUUUGAUCCAGUCCUGACUGGGGUGCUGUGUUCAGUCUCUCCACAGGGAUAAGAACUCUGAGAGGAGAGCAGGCAGACAUGCUUCUGUGACUCCAGACCAGACCAAGGUCUCUUCAUGAAGCUCAGAGGAACCCCUGAAGAUGACCACCACAUACUGGCAGUCAUAGCCAGAAGAAACUACUCAGCCAAGAUCCCAGGGGUAACAGGCUAUUUCUGAGGCGGCUGUCUCCCUCCCCACCGCCCAGAGGAAGGGCGGACACAGAGUGAAGAGUCCAGCUCUCGCUUCCUGGAACGGAGCCGACAGAGCUAGUGGGAUCCUUUUUGCAGACUGUAACUAUUUUUCGAUGACAUUAUUUCAUCUGGUAUCCUCAUGAUAACCCUGUUAGUCGAUGUGGAAAGAGAAUUGUCUUAGUUUAGGCUGCUAUAACAAAAAUAUCAUACUUGCUUGGGUCAGCUAGAUGACUCAGCCAGU
Nannospalax galili (Upper Galilee mountains blind mole rat) is the source of this 607-nucleotide long non-coding RNA. RefSeq lists it as uncharacterized. The record is from RefSeq and is a predicted model, not a curated record. NCBI's taxonomy places the organism in Eukaryota, Metazoa, Chordata, Mammalia, Rodentia, Spalacidae. The transcript has 3 exons.